GGGCCCAUAGCUCAGUUGGUUAGAGCACCUGACUCAUAAUCAGGGAGUCCAUGGUUCAAACCCAUGUGGGCCCA
This 74-nucleotide transfer RNA is filed under the name Bacteroidota bacterium. Its description in RNAcentral is "Bacteroidetes bacterium tRNA-Met". It matches the Rfam family "tRNA". From Rfam's summary of the family: Transfer RNA (tRNA) molecules are approximately 80 nucleotides in length. The record is from RNAcentral. Lineage: Bacteria; Pseudomonadati; Bacteroidota.